This 1441-nucleotide ribosomal RNA is filed under the name bacterium WM06i_B11A. RNAcentral describes it as "16S ribosomal RNA". It matches the Rfam family "Bacterial small subunit ribosomal RNA". The record is from RNAcentral.
GACGAACGCUGGCGGCGUGCUUAACACAUGCAAGUCGAACGAUGAUGCCCAGCUUGCUGGGUGGAUUAGUGGCGAACGGGUGAGUAACACGUGAGUAACCUGCCCCUGACUCUGGGAUAAGCGUUGGAAACGACGUCUAAUACUGGAUAUGAUCACUGGCCGCAUGAUCUGGUGGUGGAAAGAUUUUUUGGUUGGGGAUGGACUCGCGGCCUAUCAGCUUGUUGGUGAGGUAAUGGCUCACCAAGGCGACGACGGGUAGCCGGCCUAAGAGGGUGACCGGCCACACUGGGACUGAGACACGGCCCAGACUCCUACGGGAGGCAGCAGUGGGGAAUAUUGCACAAUGGGCGAAAGCCUGAUGCAGCAACGCCGCGUGAGGGAUGACGGCCUUCGGGUUGUAAACCUCUUUUAGUAGGGAAGAAGCGAAAGUGACGGUACCUGCAGAAAAAGCACCGGCUAACUACGUGCCAGCAGCCGCGGUAAUACGUAGGGUGCAAGCGUUGUCCGGAAUUAUUGGGCGUAAAGAGCUCGUAGGCGGUUUGUCGCGUCUGCUGUGAAAUCCCGAGGCUCAACCUCGGGCUUGCAGUGGGUACGGGCAGACUAGAGUGCGGUAGGGGAGAUUGGAAUUCCUGGUGUAGCGGUGGAAUGCGCAGAUAUCAGGAGGAACACCGAUGGCGAAGGCAGAUCUCUGGGCCGUAACUGACGCUGAGGAGCGAAAGCAUGGGGAGCGAACAGGAUUAGAUACCCUGGUAGUCCAUGCCGUAAACGUUGGGCGCUAGAUGUAGGGACCUUUCCACGGUUUCUGUGUCGUAGCUAACGCAUUAAGCGCCCCGCCUGGGGAGUACGGCCGCAAGGCUAAAACUCAAAGGAAUUGACGGGGGCCCGCACAAGCGGCGGAGCAUGCGGAUUAAUUCGAUGCAACGCGAAGAACCUUACCAAGGCUUGACAUACACCGGAAACGGCCAGAGAUGGUCGCCCCCUUGUGGUCGGUGUACAGGUGGUGCAUGGUUGUCGUCAGCUCGUGUCGUGAGAUGUUGGGUUAAGUCCCGCAACGAGCGCAACCCUCGUUCUAUGUUGCCAGCGGGUUAUGCCGGGGACUCAUAGGAGACUGCCGGGGUCAACUCGGAGGAAGGUGGGGAUGACGUCAAAUCAUCAUGCCCCUUAUGUCUUGGGCUUCACGCAUGCUACAAUGGCCGGUACAAAGGGCUGCGAUACCGUAAGGUGGAGCGAAUCCCAAAAAGCCGGUCUCAGUUCGGAUUGAGGUCUGCAACUCGACCUCAUGAAGUCGGAGUCGCUAGUAAUCGCAGAUCAGCAACGCUGCGGUGAAUACGUUCCCGGGCCUUGUACACACCGCCCGUCAAGUCAUGAAAGUCGGUAACACCCGAAGCCGGUGGCCUAACCCUUGUGGAAGGAGCCGUCGAAGGUGGGAUCGGUGAUUAGG